CCUACGGGUGGCAGCAGUGGGGAAUAUUGCACAAUGGGGGAAACCCUGAUGCAGCGACGCCGCGUGAGUGAAGAAGGUCUUCGGUAUGUAAAGUUCUAUCACCAGGGAUGAAAACUACGGUACCCGCGUAAGAAUGCCCGGCCAACCACGGUCCCGCCACCCCGGUAAUACGUAGGGGGCCAGCGUUUGCCGGGUGUACCGGGUGUAAAGGGGGUGUAGGCGGCAGUAUAAGUUUGGAGUGAAAGGCCGGGGCUUAACCCCGGAACUGCCUAGAAAACUGGGAAGCGGGAGUGCAGGAGAGGUAAGUGGAAUUCCGGGUGUAGCGGUGGAAUGCGUAGAUAUUGGGAGGAACACCAGUGGCGAAGGCGACUUACUGGACUGUAACUGACGUUGAGGCUCGAAAGCGUGGGGAGCAAACAGGAUUAGAUACCCCAGUAGUC
Molecule: ribosomal RNA, 440 nt
Filed under: uncultured bacterium
Lineage: Bacteria
Description: partial 16S ribosomal RNA
Rfam family: Bacterial small subunit ribosomal RNA
Source: RNAcentral